RNAcentral lists this ribosomal RNA (428 nucleotides) under bacterium. RNAcentral's name for it is "partial 16S ribosomal RNA". It matches the Rfam family "Bacterial small subunit ribosomal RNA", at positions 355 to 776 of the family's 1533-position model. The record is from RNAcentral.
UAGGGAAUCUUCGGCAAUGGGGGCAACCCUGACCGAGCAACGCCGCGUGAGUGAAGAAGGUUUUCGGAUCGUAAAGCUCUGUUGUAAGAGAAGAACGUGUGUGAGAGUGAAAGUUCACCCAGUGACGGUAACUUACCAGGAAGGGACGGCUAACUACGUGGCAGCCGCCGCGGUAAUACGUAAGUGCCGAGCGUUGUCCGGAUGUAUUGGGCGUAAAGCGAGCGCAGGCGGUUUAAUAAGUCUGAAGUUAAAGGCAGUGGCUUAACCAUUGUUCGCUUUGGAAACUGUUAAACUUGAGUGCAGAAGGGGAGAGUGGAAUUCCAUGUGUAGCGGUGAAAUGCGUAGAUAUAUGGAGGAACACCGGUGGCGAAAGCGGCUCUCUGGUCUGUAACUGACGCUGAGGCUCGAAAGCGUGGGGAGCAAACAGG